CCAAUAGCGUAUAUUAAAGUUGUUGCAGUUAAAAAGCUCGUAGUUGAAUUUCGGGAUCAGUACGCUGGUCGUGCCUCGUGUAUGUACUGGUGUUACUGGUUCCUACCUUCUGACGAACCGUCAUGUCAUUAAUUUGGUGUGGCGGGGAAUCAGGACUGUUACUUUGAAAAAAUUAGAGUGUUUAAAGCAGGCUCGCGCUUGAAUACAUUAGCAUGGAAUAAUGAAAUAGGACGUUCGAUCCUAUUUUGUUGGUUUCUAGGAUUGACGUAAUGAUUAAUAGGGAUAGUUGGGGGCAUUAGUAUUCAAUUGUCAGAGGUGAAAUUCUUGGAUUUAUUGAAGACUAACUACUGCGAAAGCAUUUGCCAAGGAUGUUUUCAUUAAUCAAGAACGAAAGUUAGGGGAUCGAAGACGAUCAGAUACCGUCGUAGUCUUAACCAUAAACUAUGCCGACUAGGGAUCGGAUGAUGUUAAUUUUUUAAUGACUCA
Molecule: ribosomal RNA, 486 nt
Filed under: Glomus sp.
Lineage: Eukaryota; Fungi; Glomeromycota; Glomeromycetes; Glomerales; Glomeraceae
Description: SSU rRNA
Rfam family: Eukaryotic small subunit ribosomal RNA
Source: RNAcentral